UUUGAUAUCCUUUUAGUAAGGGGUUACGUUUCGGCCGUAAUUGUGGGAUUUGUUCUCUGUCAAAG
Molecule: transfer RNA, 65 nt
Filed under: Echinoparyphium aconiatum
Lineage: Eukaryota; Metazoa; Platyhelminthes; Trematoda; Plagiorchiida; Echinostomatidae
Description: tRNA-Arg
Source: RNAcentral